This 1808-nucleotide long non-coding RNA is filed under the name Cicer arietinum (chickpea). RNAcentral describes it as "long non-coding RNA (CARI_LNC000237)". Lineage: Eukaryota; Viridiplantae; Streptophyta; Magnoliopsida; Fabales; Fabaceae. The record is from RNAcentral.
UGAAUUUUCAUAUUUUAUUGAUUUACUGUGAGUAUUACCUAUGUAUUUGAAGCUUGCUGAAUUUAUUUAUGUAUUUAAAAGAUUGUUGGAUUCAUUUUUUUUGUGUGUGAGAGGUUGUUGGCAUUUUUAAAGAAUUGAAUGAUGUGAUUGAAAUUUUAUGAUUUUUGAGACAUGCAAGUAUUAAAUAUAUUUUCAUUCAAUUAAAUUGUUAUUGUUAUUACUUAUAUUUCUCUCGUAAAAUAAAAAUCAAGUUACUAUUUAUGUAUACAUCAAUCCAACCCAACUCAACUCGUUCUUGAUUGUAUUAGUUCGGGUUAAAUGAAAAAAAUAUGAAUUUAGAACUCAAUCCAAUCAAAAGAUAAUCAAUCGUUUCAGAUAUCAGAUUUUGUCAAAAUUCGUCCAACUCAAUCCACGUAAAUCCCUACAAAAAUUUAUGUAAUCGGAUGAUACAGAGUGUCAUUCUAAAAUAAAGUUGAAGGUAGUCAUGGUUUUAAUGCUUUUUUAGAAUAUAUGUUUGUUAACAUUUAAUUAUAUAAACAUCAUAACUAUGAAAUUUUCUACAUAUUUUACUAAAACUUUGUGGCAUGAAAGCUAACUUGCGGAAAUUUGCGCCGAAAGACUCGUAGAAAAAGUUCUCAAAACAAACAAUAUCAUUGCUGUUGAAUUUUAUUUAUUUGUCGCAGAACAUAUUUGUUGGAAAUUUCUUGCAGAUGCGAAAAAUCCAAAGGAACAAAUUAUUCACCAAGAUUUUACAACAGUACUAGAAUCCAUUGAAAAAUUCCACUAAAAACCUAUUUGCUGAUUUUUUUUGUCAACAUUCGGUGCAAAAUCCGCCGGAAAAAAGACCACUCUUUUGUAUAAGAAAUAUUGACAGAGCUUAACACAAUUUUAUUUCGGUAAAACACUACUUUUUUAAUUAGAAGUAAUACAUCUUAUCUUACUCAUUAAUUAUUUCACAUAAUCUUAUUGCUUUUAUUUGUUGGUUUCUAUAUUAUUUUACAUAAUAUAUUAUAUUUAUUUAUUUUUGGUUAAAAAAUAUAUUUAUUUAUUUAAAUUGAUUGAAAUUAUAUUGAUUAAGAACACUAAAAUUAAAAACUCCAUGCUUUCUAAAUAUCCAUAUAUCCGAAACUAUAAUAUUAAAUACAGUCAAAAUAUUAAAAUUACACUAAAUCAAAACACCACCGCAAAGAAAAAAAAGCAAAACAACAAAACAAUGAAGUAGUUGAUUAUAAUUAUUCAGCAAUAUUCUUGAUGACCAUGUCUUGUAAAUAAUAAUGGAAACGACACGUGGAUUGUAUUAUUCGUUUGCUUUUGAACACUACGCCAAAAAUGACAUUUAACAGCGCCCAUUUUACAGCGCUUGCUAAACACAAGCGCUGUUGUAAUUAUAAUUUAAAAAUAACGGAACCUUUUACCGCGCUUUUGAUGACAAGCGCUGUAAAACAAGUGCUGUAGUAGGUCAUAUAACGUUUGCGCAUCACGUUAUAAGGCUUUUACAGCGCUUAUCAAAAGAGCGCUGUAAAAGGAAGCGCUUUCGCGUAUCAAUUACAGCGCUUUUUUCACAAGCUGCUGUAAACACACGCGCUUCCAAAUAUUUGAACUACCUAAUAUAGCACUUUUUUCACAAGCGCUGUAAAAUACAUGCGCUUUGAUUGAAUUUAACUACCUAUUACAUCGCUUUUUUCACAAGCGCUGUAAAAUACAUGCGCUUUCAUUGAAUUUAACUACCUAUUACAGCGCUUUUUUCACAAGCGCUGUAAAUUGCAUCUUUCAAAUAAUUAUAUACGUUGGAAACCCUCAUAUCCUCU